AUUAUACAACCCUAACAAUUCCUUCUCUCAAUUCCUCGUGCCUCUUCUUUCAGUUGUUGGCAAGAAUUUCUCUCUUCUUCCUUCUCCCAUUAUAAUACCCUAAACCUUUUCACUUUCCAAUCCCUCUUCUCAUCCUCAUGCCAUUCAAAGAAGAUGAAGUUAUUCUUAUGGUUGGGUCUCCAUCCCCACGCCUCUUUUCAUAGUUGCCUCUCUCCAAUAAAUAGUUGGAGUUCUAUCAUCUUUUGCUAUUUUCAUGAUACUUAGCAUCCUUUGGGGGAAAGGCUAUUUGGGAGGAAGAAAACUAUAAAUAUCCACCCUCAUAGCUUUCAUAGAGGAGAUCUCCUCAUCCUUAACUUUUUUUCUCAUGCUGGUUAGUAUCUAAUGUUGAUUAUAAAUACAUAUAAAAUAUUUAAUAUCGUAUAUUUAUGGAUAAAGUUGCUUUAAUAUAUGAUAAAUUCAUGAUUUAUGAUGUCUUCUCAUUAACAUGUGUUCCCUUUUGUUAUUAAUUGCUGGGUUUUAUAAGUUUGGGUUCAAUUGUAUUGUUUAGUUGAUAUUUUGGAGAAUUUUUAGAAGAUUUUCUGAGAUUUAAUACUCAGAAAAAAGAUCUGUUUUUUUAUUAAUUGGGUUUUGGACCUUGAAUUUGAACCUUUUCUUUGAAAUUUAUAUUUUUAACGCUAGGGAGGUGCAUAUGUUCUUCGGAAUUUGGGGAUUGAUGAUUUGACACCGUUUAUAAUCAAACAAAAUACUGGAUGCUGCUUAUCUAUGCGGAUUUUAUAUAUAGCCUAAUGGAAUUAGUAUUUCUAAAUUUUGUUCCUAUGCUUUUAUUUAAAUUGAAGAGAUAUAAUCACUUUUUAGCAUGUUAAAACUUUAAUUUCUGUAACAUGAUAUGUUCAAUAGUUGUGACUUCAGUUUGAUGGAUCAGUUUUGAUGUAACCAAUCGAUAGCAUGCCAAAGAAUUUGACAUAAAUCUCUGCCUUGUCAUCUAUUGAUGCUAAGAAAAUCUCUCAUGGAAGAAAAAGAAAAUGUUGUGAACUUUGAGUAACGUUUUUUCUUUCUUUUUGCAUAGAUUAUAAGAAACUUUAGAAAGAGCAUAAAUCUCAUUUGUUCUCUUUUUUUGUGGAUUUUUAAUGUCUGCUUCCACCCUUGAAGCAGAGGAGAGUUUAAGCAUUUGAAAUUGGGAAAAAACCACGUAACAUUCUAAUAUCCUUACCUUUUGUGAUUGAACAGAUUAAUGGAAAUGUGUCUAUUGAUUGACGCAUUCGAGUAUAUAGGUGCGUUUAAGGUUUGAAAGAAGACAAGAAGCUUAAAUUUAGGUAGCGAAUAAGAAGGGAAGUUGAAGGUUUUCUACUGAUCUCUUAUCACAUGCUUUCUUGUUUCUUCUUUCUUCGUUAAGCCCAAGAGUAAACAAGUACCGAAAACAUUCCUCUUUCUUCUUUAAGCCCACGAGUAAACAAAUACCGAAAACAUGAGGAUAAUGGAUGGGAAUAGGAUGUUUUUUCAUAGUAAAAUCCCUGCAUCGCUCAUGUCAGUUUUGAUGCUAGAAGGGUCAAUGCAUUCGUAAUAAAAUGUUUGCUGGAUAUCAUAUUUGGUGAAAAAGAAGAAUUUGGCUUAUGCCACAUCAUGUCAUUCAUCUAGAGCUGAUGCAAAUGGAAAAUAUUUUCAAAGUGUUCAAAAAAAAAAAAAAAAAAAAAAAAAAAAAAAUUCAUAAAGUGAAGGGGUGAGGAAUGGUGGUGAGUGUAAUAAGAAAUUCCAAUUUUCCUUGAAAUUGUUGGAGGUGGCUGAAUUUUGCAUUAGUUCAUGCUCUUCCCCCUUGCCCCCACUUUGUGUGACUUGUUUUAGAGCUCUAUAUUAUCAUAUCCUUGGGACCAUGGAGCCCAUGGGUACCCCUGAUCUACCUAGAUUCAGGAUUUUAUUCUUUCAUUUUCCCUGCUCGGGAAUUGGAACUAACCAUUUUAUAUUUACUUGAGAUUUAGUUUAAGUCAACCUUCAUCCUCAAAUGUUGUACAUUUUUGUAUUCACCUGGAAUUCUAAAGACAGACACUAGAAAUAUUUUAUAAUAUUUUCGUGUGGCCUUCACCCCCGAUUAGUGAAAAUUGCUGGUUUGAUUUCUACUUAUGUUGAUAUGGUUUACCUGUUGUUAUUGUAUUUUUUUUAUUCAGUUGACACAAGAUUGUUAAAUAGUCGUAAAUAGCAAGGACUUGUGGUUUGUCACUUUCAACAUAGCUGAUCUUUUGUGAGUAUGAAAAGCAUUUUUUCCCUCUCUUUGUAUUAGGUCCAACAAUAAAUACAUUGGGCUGUGAUUUUAAUUCUAUUUUCACUAGUUUAUUGCCAAUUUUGCCAUUGGUGCUAACUGCUAAGUGGUUUUUUCCCUUUGAACUUAAUUUUCAAUUGUUGCAAUCGUGAAUAUUUUUUGCCUGAGUUUUCUUUUCUUCUUUCAUUUUGCGCUAUCUUGAUCUCCAGAAAUACAGAUAGAUGAACAUGGAAUUUUUUUUAUGCUUUAUGCUAUUUGUGACAAAAGUUUAUACUAUGCUAUAUUUAAUAAUUACAAUUCUUUAACAGAUAAUUCAUGAUCGAAAUUGUUUGGUGGAGGAAAUUUGCAACGGUUACCCGUAUGUGCUUGAGCUUCUCAAAUCAUGCUCCCCUGAAGUGCUUGAUCAUGUAAGGCAAGAGUAUCCACAUGUCUUAUCUUUGUCAAAGCAUGAGCAUCCACAUGCUCCAUUGAAGGCGUGGAUUGUGGGUUAUGCAUUGGGAUGUCUAGGGAUUAAUAACAUUUUAAUUUGUAUCAUCUUUAAUCCCUACUCCUUUUAGUUAGGUGGUUUUGUAUCACAUUUUAAUGUUCAAGUGUUUUGAUUCAAAAAUUUGUAAUGAAAUUAUUAAUUUUUAUGCAAUUCCAAAAUUUGUUCACAAAGUGUUAUUUUCAAUUUUGCAAGUUA
RNAcentral lists this long non-coding RNA (2933 nucleotides) under Olea europaea subsp. europaea. Lineage: Eukaryota; Viridiplantae; Streptophyta; Magnoliopsida; Lamiales; Oleaceae. The record is from RNAcentral.